RNAcentral lists this long non-coding RNA (442 nucleotides) under Homo sapiens (human). Its description in RNAcentral is "non-protein coding lnc-MYO19-2:3". Lineage: Eukaryota; Metazoa; Chordata; Mammalia; Primates; Hominidae. The record is from RNAcentral.
UGGCGCCCCGCCUGCGCCCCACCACGUGCGGGGAGGCUCAGCGGUCUGGUAGCGCUGGGAAGACCAAGUCCAUGCUCUGAUAUGCACUUCGGACAUCGCCAGGCGGCAGGAAAGGCACGGAUGAGCCAGGGCCAGCACCAGAAGUGACUUUUAGGGACUGCUGCCACGUUCUCACCUGCAUGCCUCCGUUUCCCCUCUGGUAUCUAAGAGAGAGUAAUUCAGACCCCAGACUCAGCCGGUAGAGAGGAGAAGCAGCUGCAUGUUGGGGACUAUGGCCAAAGUCAGAGAGAACCAGCUUGACUUCAGAGGGACAGCUUGACAGUGUAACUUCAAAGAAGAAUCUGGCCAGAGACUGCUGGACCUCAGGGGAAGAUUACCUACAUUCCCUGGCCCCUUUUCAACCUCCCUUCCCUCUGAGAGCCACUUUCAUCAGCAAUAAAAU